GAUGAAGAACGCAGCGAAAUGCGAUAAGUAAUGUGAAUUGCAGAAUUCAGUGAAUCAUCGAAUCUUUGAACGCACAUUGCGCCCCCUGGUAUUCCGGGGGGCAUGCCUGUCCGAGCGUCAUUACAACCCUCAAGCUCAGCUUGGUAUUGGGCCCCGCCGACCCGGCGGGCCCUAAAGUCAGUGGCGGUGCCGUCCGGCUCCGAGCGUAGUAAUUCUUCUCGCUCUGGAGGUCCGGUCGUGUGCUCGCCAGCAACCCCCCAUUUUUUUCUGGUUGACCUCGGAUCAGGUAGGGAUACCCGCUGAACUUAAGCAUAUCAAUAAGCGGAGGA
RNAcentral lists this unclassified non-coding RNA (329 nucleotides) under soil metagenome. Its description in RNAcentral is "partial contains 5.8S ribosomal RNA, internal transcribed spacer 2, and large subunit ribosomal RNA". The stretch from base 1 to 120 matches the Rfam family "5.8S ribosomal RNA", at positions 35 to 154 of the family's 154-position model. The record is from RNAcentral.